GUUGGUACGGCUGCUGCUCGAUAACAACUUAUUAGAAGGAAGCAUACCUCAAUCUCUGAAGAAUAUAAAAGGUCUUGCAUUACUGAACCUAACAAUGAAUAAGCUAUCUGGUAGUAUUCCUGAUGCCCUUGCUAGCAUUGGCCACCUGCAACAACUGUAUCUUGCACACAACAACUUGUCAGGUUCCAUCCCCAAAGUUCUACAGAAUUUGACAUUGUUGGCAAAACUGGAUUUGUCCUUCAAUGAUCUGCAAGGCGAAGUGCCAAAAGGGGGUCCUUUUGCAAAUGCAACUCACUUGUCAAUUGAUGGAAAUGAUGAGCUUUGUGGCGGAAACCCUCAACUUCAUUUAGCUCCGUGCUCCACAGCAGCUGCGGAGAAGAACAGAAGGCGAAUGUCAAGGUCACUUAUGGUCACCGUAGCGUCAAUCUGCGCACUUCUAUUCUUAGGUUUAGUAGUUUGUCUUAUCCAUUUGAUCCACAAGAGGCUCAGACAAGGAAAGGAAAAUCAACUCAUUCCCACAGUAAUUGAUGAACAGCACGAAAGGGUUUCAUAUCAAGCAUUAGCAAAUGGGACUGACCAUUUUUCGCAGGUUAAUCUGCUCGGACAAGGAAGCUAUGGUGCAGUUUAUAAGUGCACUUUACAAGACAAGGGAAUUACCGCAGCUGUAAAGGUAUUCAACGUGUGGCAAUCUGGGUCUACUAGAAGUUUUGUGGCUGAAUGUGAGGCACUGCGAAGGGUGCGCCACCGAUGUCUCAUAAAGAUCAUCACCUGUUGCUUAAGCAUUGAUCACCAAGGCCAAGAAUUCAAGGCACUGGUUUUUGAGUUCAUGCCCAAUGGUAACCUAAAUGGUUGGCUGCAUCGAGCAUCCAAAAUACAGAGUCUGAGCAAUACGCUCAGCUUAGCUCAGAGACUGGACAUUGCGGUAGAUAUCAUGGAUGCUUUGGAUUAUCUUCACAAUCAGUGUCAACCGCCUAUUAUCCAUUGUGAUCUCAAACCAAGUAACAUCCUCCUUGCCGAAAGUAUGAGUGCUCGGGUUGGAGAUUUCGGCAUAUCAAAAAUCCUUCCUGAUGACACUAGCAAAACUAUGCUGAAUUCGGUUAGCUUCACUGGACUAAGAGGUUCCAUUGGAUACGUCGCUCCAGGUAACAGAAACUAACACUGAUAUUGCUAUGUUCAGUUUUUAACUUCCAUUUUGCCAAGUCCAGUUAUCUCGGCAUGAAUCGUUCGUAAGUAGCUUGCCAUGAAUCCACUGACCAAAUAGUUUCUGAAAUCUCAAUUGACUGCAGAGUACGGCGAGGGUCGCGCCGUCUCAACUCUUGGAGAUGUUUACAGCCUCGGCAUACUGUUGCUUGAGAUGUUCACCGGGAUGAGCCCUACUGACGACAUGUUCAAAGGCUCCUUGGACCUUCAUAAGUUCGCCGAGGCCGCUCUCCCCGACAGAGCCUUGAAGGUAGCCGACCCGGCAAUCUGGCUUCAUGAAGAAGCAAAGGGGGAAGACCCGGCCACGGUGAGAAGCAGAAGCGAGAGGUGCUUGGCUUCAGUGGUCGGGCUUGGCGUGUCCUGCUCAAAGCAGCUGCCAAGGGAGCGGACGGCGAUGCGGGAUGCUGCCGCUGAGAUGCGUGCGAUCAGAGAUGCCUUCCUGGUUCAAUGUGCAACAGAGACUUGGCCUGCAGUCGGCACCAGCGGCCUUGGAAGCACAGACACUUGAAUGGUGGACGGAGCUACGGUCUCUUGACGCACCAAGGAGCCACCGGACUAGCUGCUCUGCAACUAACAGGGUGGAGAAAGCGCCCCUUAAUGAAAAGAAAAACAGCCGGUGCAAGGCUUUAUACGGAGGGGUGUUUGGAUCCCCGGACUAAAUUUUAGUUCCUGUCACAUUGUCCAUCGAAUAUUUCGAUACUAAUUAGGUCUAUUAAACAUAGACUAUUUACAAAAUCCAUUACAUAGAUGGAGGUUAAACGGCGAGACGAAUCUAUUAAGCCUAAUUAGUCCAUGAUUUGACAAUGUGCUGCUACAGUAACCAUUUGCUAACGAUGGAUUAAUUAGGCUUAAUAAAUUCGUCUCACCGUUUAGCCUCCAUCUGUGUAAUUAGUUUUAUAAUUAACUCAUAUUUAAUCCUCCUAAUUAGUCUUCGAAUAUUCGAUGUGACACGGACUAAACUUUAGCUCCAGGAUCCAAACAUCCCCAAAGAAUGUGACAGCCACUGCGUGUAUCCGAGAGCCUUAUCUAAUCUACCAAUGAUUGUUGUGUAUGGAUGCAUAUAGAUUAUGCACGAACUCCCUCCGUCCCAAAAAAAUGUACUACUAUUUAUAAUGUAUAAUAAGUAUCAUUAGAUUGAGUAUUGAGUAUACUUUCCUAAUACAUUUAUUUGAAGAUACAAAUGUUGAUACUAUUUUCUAUAUUCUUAGUCAAAUUUAAAAACGUUGACUCCUCGAAAAGUGAGAUGUGUGUUUAUUUUGGGACGGAGGGAGUACCCGGGGAUUAGUCACGAUACAAGUAGGGAUUAGCAAGCACCAAAACCUCAUUCAUUGCCCUUCGAUCGCUCAAAUAAAAGCAACCAUUGCAUAUGGUGGCGAUGCGCUUGCGGGCCUUUCUCCAACCUUCAUUCUCCAACCUCUCUGCUCUCGCGGGCCUUGAACUCGCAUGGAACAGUUUUAGUGGAAACGUACCCCAACUUUGAAGAGAUUGCAAAGCCUCAUUUUACCUAUCCUUAAGUGGCAAUAAGCUAGGAUCGAAUGAUAAGGACGGAUUGGAAUUCAUCACCAUGCUGGCAAACUGCAGCCAGCUCCAGCAACUGGCUUUUGACAAUAGUUCAUUCAUCGGGGAACUUCCUACUCAAUUGCAAAUCUAUCGACAACACUCCAAUUGCUCUGUAUAGGAAACAAUUGGAUUUCGGGAUUUAUUCCAUCCAGCAUCGGUAAUUUGGUUGGUCUAGAACUGCUUACGUUGGCAAAUACUUUCAUAUCCGUGAAGGAUCGAAACUGGCGACCAGAGGGGGGUGAAUGGGAGCCUCACAAAAAUUCGCGGAAGCAAUUUGAGUAAAAUUAGAAUAAAAUUUAUUUGCAAUUUCCAACACAGAUAAAAAGACAGGGGUAAGCAAAAAGCUAAAUCACGUGAUAAAGACCCACUAAACAAAAUAUUAAACAAAAGAGCAUAUGGUUGCAAAAAGGUUGUUUACUGUUCAUAGAAAGUGACCUCACCUUCCCUGGUGCAUGCGUGAGUGAUGUUUCUAGAAACAAUAUUAAUGUGUAAUAUUGAAAGUGCUAAUGAGAAGGAAAUUUGCAAAGCAGAGACACGACCUGCAAGUCACCUGCAGGCACAUGCGUGCGCUGUUCGGAAGCAGAACGCUGUUCCUGGCCGGUCACCUCCCUUGUACGGGGCACACACAGUAAAAUCCAGAGACGUGCGCUUCAGUAGAGCAGGCAGCGUACGAACUAAUCAUACGAGCUCAUCGGCGGCUGGCCCUGGUGCGACGCUGCGAGCCGUGGCUGACCGCCAGGAGCAGACCUUGUCCUCCCGCAACGAUGUGUCCCUGAACAGCAAAACGGGAACAACCAAACCGGCGGCGCAAACAACGAAAACAAAGGGAACGGAGGAAAAUCGGAUCUCGCACGAACAAAGAACAAAUCACAAGGACGAAUGAUUAAAGUGUAAUUAUUCUACAAAAGUGCAUCUAGCCUCCGCCCGAUCGUCCUCCCUCUCUUCAUUGGAGAGAUCAACAAAAAUCCCUCGCUAGUAUUGAAACCCUAGGCUAGACAAAAAGCGAGAAAGCAAGAGAACCCUCUCAACCCUAGGUGCCACAUAUUUAUAUCCUUAGGGUGGCACGACCUAUUUACACAUAACCCCCUACGCUAAAUAAAUCUAACGUAGGGGCGUAAAUUCCAAUUACGUCCUCCAUGGUAAAUUCCGCGAUGUCCGCAAUCCCUCCAUCUCUACGACGUGAUCUUCGCGAUGUCGCCGCACGACCAUCCGAAAUCGUAUCGCGAUCGUCGGAAUUUCCAUCUUGGGCCAACGCCUGUCGCACGGGCGUCCCGAUACGAUGCAUGGCUUUGUGGCUCAACCAGCGAACCCCGGAUUUUGUGGCAUAAUCCGGAAACCUCCCUCGACGUCCUCCCGCCGUGUAGCCAGGUACAGUAGAUGUAUACCGCACGAUCGCCUGUCCCUCGAACGCAAGCCUCGAUCCGCCCUUCUCCGCCCCCGCGGUUUUUCAACGUGGCAUCCUAUCUUCGUUCUUCACUCGUCGCCGCAUGUACCUUGUCUCCACCUGUCACCUGCAACCACAACCUACCAAGAGACACGUCACACGCACACCGUGUUAUCAAUCGCUCAUCACCAAGGUGCUAGCCCACCGGCAUCUCAAUCUCCCCCUUGAUGAGUGCAUUGACAACACCACACCGCACAAAUUUAUUCGUACGGAAAAAGAAAAAUAAAAAGAAAGAAAAAGAAACGAUCUUAAUCCCCAAAGACAUGGGCUAGCGAAAAAGCUAGGCUCGACACAAUAAAGACAGAAAUUCACUCUCCCCAAAGUGAAUCAAAAGCCAUAUCAAUCUCCCAAAAGCAAUCUCAGCAGCAAAACUCACAAAUUUCAGCAAAACUCCCCCUACAAGAAUGAACGAACUUCCCCAGCAAGAAUGAAGUUGUGCGCUACUCACUCUCCCCCUUGUUGACAAAGCACUCCAUCAAGAUAAAAGGCAAGGAACCAAUUUAGAGAAAAGCAUGUGAGAAAGCACAAGUUGAAGCUUCUGAGACAUAUGCCAAAUACUUAUAAAAGAACAACACUAGCUAUCCAGAGAAGGAACAAUACAAUGCCAUGACCAAUAAAAAUUUAGAACUGAAAUCUGUUUGAAAACUAAUGUGCCAGGCAAAAACGUGCACAUUCCAAACUCAGUGCAAAGCUGAAGACAAAACAUAUAGCAAGCUCACACGACAGAUACACAGCUUCAGUCCAAGUUCACUGCAACGCCCACAAAUGCAUUCACUUGUCAUAUUUAAUUCUAACUUUUGUGAGCAUGAUAAGCAGGGACAUGGGAAGCAAGAGUUGUGCCCAGCCAGUUUGUUUAAUUUUGUUUAUGAGCGAGAACCAGCAGGGACAUGGGAAAAACAGAGUUGCACCCAUAUUUAAAUUCUGAGUAAGGCAAGCAGAUCAUGAGCUAAAUAGCAGAGAUAUGGGAAUUCAGAGUUUUUGCUCACAACCAUACUAUGUACUCCCGAGUUAAAACUUGUAUUGUGAGUUACAUUUGCAGUGAAAACCCAUUAAAAGAAGCUGACUACCGAACCAUGAGCAAGAUAUAUGUCAAGUAUUCAACAAGUCACUAGAUCCAGAAAAGCAAACAUAGCCCAACAUAAUUUUUUAAGUAUAUAUCUGUGCUUUUUUUAAAAUAAAAAUUGGUCAAGCAAAGCAUUCAAACCUCUCCAAAAGCAUCGAUUGCAAACUAGCCAAAACAAGUAUAAAGCAUAUGUAACUGAAGCAACUUACAAUGAUACUAGAAUGGGUAACACACCCCGAACUCACCACGCAGACGUGCAAACGUGGUUUGAUCUAGUGGCUUAGUCAAAAUAUCAGCAAGUUGCUGACUAGUAUCAAUAUGCUUAAGAUCAAUAUCACCCUUUUCAAAAUGAUCCCUCAGAAAAUGAUGACGAACCUCAAUGUGUUUCGUCUUAGAGUGAAGCACAGGAUUCUUUGCAACACUUAUAGCGCUAGUGCUGUCACACAAGAGAGGAACGCGAGAAAACGACAAACCAAAAUCGCGAAGGGUAGCUAUCAUCCAUAAAAGCUGAGAACAACAACUAGCAGCAGCAACAUACUCAGCCUCUGUAGUAGAUUGAGCAACAUUAGAUUGUUUUCUAGAGGACCAAGAAACAAGCGAAGAACCCAAAAAUUGGCAAGUACCCGAUGUAGACUUUCUAUCCAAACGACACCCAGCAAAAUCAGCAUCCGAAUAACCACACAAACUGAGAGUCGAAGCAGCAGAGUACCAAAGGCCAAAUGCAGGAGUAAAUCGGAGAUACCUCAUUAUGCGCUUCACCGCCUGACGGUGAGAAGUCCUGGGGGACGCCUGAAAACGAGCACACAUACACACAGCAAAGUGUAUAUCUGGCCUCGUAGCAGUCAAGUACAGCAGCGACCCAAUCAUGCUUCGAUAUUCCUUCUGAUCUACAGGCUCUCCGUCCUCAUCAGCAUCCAAAGCUACGCUAGUCGGCAUGGGCGUAGAAAUUGGCUUCGCAUCAUCCAUCGCAAACUUCUUCAGGACAUCCUUCGUGUACUUUCCCUGAUGCACAAAUGUACCUUCCAAAGUUUGUUUUAUUUGUAAGCCAAGAAAGAAAUUCAGCUCGCCCAUCAUAGACAUCUCAAAUUCUUUGCUCAUCACAUCUACAAACUUUUUCACAAGAGCAUGAGAGGAACCACCGAAAAUGAUAUCAUCCACAUAAAUCUGAACUAUUAAAGUGUCAUUUCCUUGCCUGAGGAGAAAAAGAGUUUUAUCAACUGAACCCAUUUUGAACCCAUUUUUAAGCAAAAAAGUUUUCAAUCUAGCAUACCAAGCGCGAGGUGCUUGCUUCAAACCAUAUAAAGCCUUUUGCAACUGAAGAACACGAUCAGGAAAAUUGGGAUGUUCAAAACCAGGUGGUUGUUUAACAUAAACUUCUUCUUCUAUAAAACCGUUCAGAAAAGCACUUUUCACGUCCAUUUGAUAAAGCUUAUAACCACGUGAAGCAGCAAAUGCAAGCAAAAUACGAAUGGCUUCUAAACGAGCAACAGGAGCAAAAGUUUCACCAUAAUCAAUACCCUCUUUCUGAGAAAAGCCCUGAGCAACCAGCCUAGCUUUAUUUCUAACAACAUAACCAUCUUCCCCUUGUUUGUUCUUAAAGACCCAUUUAGUCCCAAUUGGUUUACAAGAGGGAGGAGGAUCAACCAAAACCCAAACCUGAUUCCGUUCAAAAUUUUCUAACUCCUCAUGCAUGGCAUUGACCCAGUUAGAAUCAGAUAAAGCAUGUCCAACAUCUCAGGGUUCAAAAAAGGCAACAAAAGCAGUAUGCGCAAAGACACAAUAAUUUUUAUUUUUCAUACCUUUGUUCCUUGUCGUGCGCUCAUCCAAAUUACCUAUUAUGUUCCUUGCAGGAUGACGAUUCUGAAUGUGUUGUGGUGCUGUACGUUCUGAAAUCGCCUCCCCCUCAACUGCAGCCGGCACCUGAUCAACAGUCGGUGAAGCUGCAGGCGCUGCUGUAGAUGUACGUGUCGACGACGGUCCAUCCUCCAAAGUGGUGGAGGGCGCCUGCUCAGACUGGGCGCCAGGCUCCCCCUGCAUCGCAGGCUGGGCGUCAUCGUCGUCGUCGUCGUUGCAUCCAUCUUCCUCUUUCUCAUCCUCAAAAAUAUCCUGCCCGAUCUCAUCAUCACCUGCACACUCAGAAGCAGAAGAAAAACAAGGCAUUGUCUCGUUGAAGGUGACCUCACAUGUCUCCUCGAUGCGGUUAGUAUCAAGAUUAAGCACACGGUAUGCUCGCCCUUGCAAGGCAUACCCCAAAAAUAACCCAUCAGAAGAACGCGAUUCAAAUUUAUCCAAAUUUCCCUUUUUCAAUAUAAAACACUUGCAGCCAAAGACUCGAAAGUGGAAAACUUUGGGAGGUCGACCAAAUCUCAACUCAUAAGAUGUUUUUCCCAGAAAAGCUCUCAGAAAAAUGCGAUUAGCAACAUAGCAAGCGGUGUUGAUCGCCUCAGCCCAAAAACGUCUAGGAGUUUUAUGUUCAUCAAGCAUUGUCCUAGCCAUCUCAACAAGCGUACGAUUUUUACGCUCAACAACACCAUUCUGGGGAGGAACGUAAGGUGAGGAAAACUGGUGAUCUAAACCUUGUUCUGAACAAAAAGCUUUCAUACGAGAAUUCUUGAAUUCCAUACCGUUGUCACUGCGAAUUGCUCUAACGGCAUUAUUUGACAACUCGUUUUUCAGCUUCAGAACAAGAUCAUGAACAUGUGAAAAAGCCUCAUCCUUAGAUUCCAAAAAGAACACCCAUGAAUAUCGAGAAAAAUCGUCCACAACGACGAGCACAUACCACUUCCCACCAGCGGACCGAACACGGGCUGGACCAACUGUGUCCAUAUGUAACAGCUCACCCGGUCGUCUUGUCAUCACCUGAGUCAUAGGUGCAUGAGAAGCAGCAACCAUUUUUCCAUGUUUGCAGGGAGCACAAACCAAAUCCUUCUCAAAUUUGAGUUUCGGUAAACCAGCAAUUAAAUUCAUGGAACUCAAGCGGCAAAGCAAAUCAAAGCUCAGGUGGCCCAAGCGACGAUGCCACUUUCAAAUAUCAGGGGAACCAUGAGCAACCAAACAACGAGUCUGUCCAAAAGAUUUAGAAAAAUCAACCUUAAAAACUCGUCCAAAGGGAGAAAUCUUGCAAACAAGGUCACCAGCAGAAUCAAGAACUCGCGAAUUGCCUUUCUUAAAACGCACUUCAAAAUCAUCUUCAAGGAGUUGCGAGACAGAAAGCAGAUUAUAAUGCAAAUUUUGUACCUUCGCGACAUCCUUUAGCAUGAAUUUUUCAGAUACAUUGAUGCAGCCAUGCGCCAAAACCUUACCUUUACUAUUAUCCCCGAAUGUAAUAUGUUCCUUACCACUCGCGGGGGUGAGGCUGGAGAACCAUCUGUCAUCUCCGGUCAUGUGGCGCGAACAACCGGAAUCCAUUAUCCAUAUGUUCUCCUCGCCUCCAUCCUGCAGUCAACAAUGAGCAUAAGAGUGAGCUAAUGACUCAACACUGGGGUUAGGAUAAUGCAGAGAAAACCAGUGCUGGGCCACUUGCUCAAAAGAGGCAUUAGCAAAAUCAAAACUCUCGAAAGAUUGACGAGAACCACGAGGGGGAAAAUGUAGCCUAUCAUUCCAGUGUGGUGCAGGAGCACGAGUAUAGCCUGUCAUUCCAGUGUGGUGCAGGAGCACGAGUAUGCGAGCGAAAACCAAAAGAACGACCAGCAAGCUUACGACCCAAAACAGGACGAUCAUGAGUACCACGUGCAGGGUACUGCUCACGUCUCUCAGCACGCUUCCGACGGAAGCAAAACUCAUAGAGAUGACCAUCAUGAUCACAAAAUUCACAAUGGUAAUGCUUAUGUGAAGGAGCAAAAGAAACCUUAGCCUUAGAACCAGAAGCAACAAAUUUAGGCUUAGGCAUAGCAGCAUGAACACAUGGAGAAUCAGAUGGCUUAACAUUCUGUGCAACAUUGAAGUGUUUAGGUUUAGGCACCCAAACCUGCUUUUUAGGAACCGAUCUGGAUGGUUCAACUAACAACCCCUCAGAUGUGACACCUGGACCCUCUUUCCUAGGAGGUGGUCCAGUUACUUAGCCAAAGGUGGAUUAAUUUCAUCCACAGGAGGUCCACUCUUUUCACCAAAAACAUGUUUCAAAUCGUAUCCAGGUCCAAAACGCUCAUCCCGUUUAAUUUGAGCAAUAGACAUACCUAUUUGAGGUUCACGAAUAGAGCACCAACCAAGAAUCACUCUCAAAUGUUUAUUUUCUUCUUCCAAAGCAGAAAACUUUACCCUCAAAUCAUUAUUUUCAGCAAAAAAAAGUAGUGCAAGUCAAACAGGGAGGCAAAACAGGACAAGAAUGUUUCUCCAACUCAGUAAUACGAGAUUUAGCAAGAUUCAAUUCAGAUUGCAGGAUUGGACAAGAAACACAAGCACCAAGUAAAGCAGAACCAGAGUGAAGUUUUUCCAACUCAAACUUAGCAUUUUCAAAUUUAUCAACAAUGGAGGCAUACUUAGAUUGCAACUCAGAAAGUGAAACCAUAUGCGCAGAGCACUCUUCACAUUCUACUUCAGCAGGAGUAGCAUCUUUUAAGACUUUUAAUUCAGAAUUGACUCUAUCAUACUCAGCCUUAAGUUUUACUAAAAUUUUAUUUUGUUUAUCAACAAUUUUUGUCAAUUCUUUAAUUUCUUCUUCUGCUGAAUUUUGUACCUCAUUGUCAGAAGAGUUGUCGCUGCGAUCAGAAGCCACAUCGUCAUCCAAGGCCAUGGUGCACAUCCCUCCCUUGAUGUCGGCGAGGAAGCAGAGUCCGUCAGUUUUCUUUUUGGGCAGCUCAUCCUCGGAGUCUGAAUCACUCGAGUUCGAAGAGGCAUCUGAAACAAAAUCACCAAGAGAAGAAAACAAAACAUGUGUAGCCUUUUUUAUUUGUUUAUCAGUGUACUUCUGGCCAUUCUUCUUCAUGCGCCUGUCACCCUUCUUUUUCUUCUUCUCCCUUGAUUGUUCCUGGCGCCUGGAGUUGUUGCCCUGCUCAAAUGUUCUCAUCUUGUUCGGGCAAUCAGCAGCAAAGUGGCCUUGCUCACCACAGCUGAAACAUCCUUCUGAGCGUCUUCUGUUGCGUCGGUUCUCAUAGACUCUCUUGAAUUUGUUGGAGAGCAGCACCAACUGAUCAUCAUCUAGCGCCUCCAACUCAUCAUCUGCAACAUGACAUAAAGAUGACAAAGCAAAGCUGGGAGAAACUGGAUUAGUGUUAAUGUUAGUCUUACUCCCAGAAACCAAAGCCAUAGGAACAUCAGAAGAAGAAACACCAGUGGGAUUUUUCAAUUUGCGCUUGGAGAGGACAUCAAUCUCUUUUGAUUUGAGCUUAUUGAAAAGCUCAUCAGUGGUAAGAGUCUCAUAGCCAGCGGACUCAACGAUCGCCUCUACUUUCAUAUCCCACUCAUCAAUAAGUGAAUGCAACAAUCUGAGAGCCCUUACAAGGUCAUCAUAAGGCAUAUCCUUAUUAAGGGCUCUCAUUUUGUUUACAAUCACUUGAAACCUUGCAAAAAGAUCUUUAAUGGAUUCACCAGGCAAUUGAGAAAAAGCAUCAAACUCUUUUCUGUGAAUUUCGAAUUUUCGUGUUUUCACAGCGUUGGAGCCUUCAUGAUAUUUCUUUAACUUAUCCCAAAUCUGAAAGGCUAGCUCCUCACUGGAAAUACGAUCAUACUCAGGUUUACAAAGAGAAGCUUGCAAAAUAUCAACUACCCGGUUAUUUGCCUCAAGAAGAGCAACAGCAGCAGGAUCAGUAGGGUCCUCUACAGGAAUCACAUAUGUAGAGUUUUGUAUGAUCCUCCACAGAUUCAUCCCCUUCCCCUUUAAAUAAGCUUUCAUACGCGACUGCCAAUAGUCAUAAUCAGUACCAUCAAAAUGCGGAGCGCGUGUAUUGUAUUUUUCGGCGGUCGCCAUGGUUUUCGUAACCGAUUAAGAUAUAGAAAACCUUAACCUGGCUCUGGUACCAAUUGAAGGACUGAAACUAGCGACCAGAGGGGGGGUGAAUGGGAGCCUCACAAAAAUUCGCGGAAGCAAUUUGAGUAAAAUCAGAAUAAAAUUUAUUUGCAAUUUCCAACACAGAUAAAAAGACAGGGGUAAGCAAAAAGCUAAAUCACGUGAUAAAGACCCACUAAACAAAAUAUUAAACAAAAGAGCACAUGGUUGCAAAAAGGUUGUUUACUGUUCCUAGAAAGUGACCUCACCUUCCCUGGUGCAUGCGUGAGUGAUGUUUCUAGAAACAAUAUUAAUGUGUAAUAUUGAAAGUGCUAAUGAGAAGGAAAUUUGCAAAGCAGAGACACGACCUGCAAGUCACCUGCAGGCACAUGCGUGCGCUGUUCGGAAGCAGAACGCUGUUCCUGGCCGGUCACCUCCCUUGUACGGGGCACACACAGUAAAAUCCAGAGACGUGCGCUUCAGUAGAGCAGGCAGCGUACGAACUAAUCGUACGAGCUCAUCGGCGGCUGGCCCUGGUGCGACGCUGCGAGCCGUGGCUGACCGCCAGGAGCAGACCUUGUCCUCCCGCAACGAUGUGUCCCUGAACAGCAAAACGGGAACAACCAAACCGGCGGCGCAAACAACGAAAACAAAGGGAACGGAGGAAAAUCGGAUCUCGCACGAACAAAGAACAAAUCACAAGGACGAAUGAUUAAAGUGUAAUUAUUCUACAAAAGUGCAUCUAGCCUCCGCCCGAUCGUCCUCCCUCUCUUCAUUGGAGAGAUCAACAAAAAUCCCUCGCUAGUAUUGAAUCCCUAGGCUAGACAAAAAGCGAGAAAGCAAGAGAACCCUCUCAACCCUAGGUGCCACAUAUUUAUAUCCUUAGGGUGGCACGACCUAUUUACACAUAACCCCCUACGCUAAAUAAAUCUAACGUAGGGGCGUAAAUUCCAAUUACGUCCUCCAUGGUAAAUUCCGCGAUGUCCGCAAUCCCUCCAUCUCUACGACGUGAUCUUCGCGAUGUCGCCGCACGACCAUCCGAAAUCGUAUCGCGAUCGUCGGAAUUUCCAUCUUGGGCCAACGCCUGUCGCACGGGCGUCCCGAUACGAUGCAUGGCUUUGUGGCUCAACCAGCGAACCCCGGAUUUUGUGGCAUAAUCCGGAAACCUCCCUCGACGUCCUCCCGCCGUGUAGCCAGGUACAGUAGAUGUACACCGCACGAUCGCCUGUCCCUCGAACGCAAGCCUCGAUCCGCCCUUCUCCGCCCCCGCGGUUUUUCAACGUGGUAUCCUAUCUUCGUUCUUCACUCGUCGCCGCAUGUACCUUGUCUCCACCUGUCACCUGCAACCACAACCUACCAAGAGACACGUCACACGCACACCGUGUUAUCAAUCGCUCAUCACCAAGGUGCUAGCCCACCGGCAUCUCAAUCUCCCCCUUGAUGAUUCCAGAUAGCAUUGGUCGCCUAAAAGACACGUCCGUGUUAGGCGUUUACUACACUAGCUUGUCAGGCAUCAUACCUUGAUCACAAGGAAAUCUUACACAGUUGAAAGCUCUCUGUGCGUACGAUAUAGCAACUUGGAGGGUUCAAUUCCAGCAAGCUUGGGGAACUUAAAGAAUCUUUUUAUCCUCGAUCUCGGUUUCAGGUCGAAGCAGAGCAUAAACCUUUCUCAAGACUACGAAGUUACCAUAGAGCAGAUCAGUAUGAGGGCCAGGCUAUACCCUAUCAACACCUCCCCUCUUGCCCUUUCGGUAAGAUUACCUCAAACUAUAGUCUUUAAUUAAUUAGCCAAGACCAGAGCCAUAUAGUUCCAAGUUUAAUCAUUGAGUUUAUUAAAACCAUCAUAACCCAAGGUAUUGCAACUAAGCAUAUCUACCCAACAAACAGGUAAAACCCAGGUUGACAAGGAAUGAUCAUAAAGAUUAGGUAAACCUUAAUAGGACCCAUCAAUAUUAGAUGCAGAGCAAUGCAAAAGUGAUUAAAUAUAGUUAUUGAGAUAAAAGCACAAGGACACACUUGCCUUUCUCCAAAGAAUAGCUGCUCAGAUUAUCUUCAGCUCUUGUUCCUUAAAGCUCUCGAACAACGUUCCUUCUACUUGCAUCAAUCAUCGGCACAAGCAUACAAAGCAAACAACAAUCAUAACUAAGAACAAUACAUCAAUCAUAGUAAAUCUUUAAAAGAGCGUACUAAAGGAUAAGGCUCGAAUCUAAGGUCAUGCUAACACAAGAAACGCUGGGAACGAAACUAUGGUUGAAAAGACAAAGCUAUCGAGAGAUUUGAAUUAUAAAAGAAAGAGAAGCCUAUGUGCUUCAUAUAUUUUAAUAAAGAAAAGAAUGUAAAUAUAUUUUAGAGAAACAUCCUUAGAAGGUUAUAUUUAUAUAUGAAAAGAUGAUGUAGAACUUAGUCAAAUUUUAUUUAUAAAUAUUCAAGUAAACAUUUAAUUUGAAAAUAAAGUAUAUGUAAACAUCAAGGCGCAUAGCUUUAUGAUUCAGGUUGAACUAACCAAAUAUAAUUCAAAAACAUAUUUAUAUUUAUAUUAGUCAAAUUAACAUAUAAUUAUGAAAACCAAAGAUGUAACUUAUGUAGCUUUUAUUUAGAAAACAAAUUGAAUAAACAUUAAUCAAUUUAAGUUUAAUUAUGAACCACCGUGGUGCAUCUCUAAUUCGCUUUUAAUUGAAAGAGUUAUUUAAAUAAGCAUUAAUAACUAAAUUAACAUUUAUUAUGAAAAGCGGUUAUAACACUAAGUAGCUUUUAAUUAAAGAAGACAUGUUUAACAUGCAUUAAUCAGAUUAAUAUUAAAUUUAUUUUAAAACAUGCAUGAUGGAAAGAUCACUACUAACAUGUAAUUUGUGUUAUCAUGAACCUAAGAAUGGAUAUAAACGGAGCUGUAACGAGGAGUCCAUGGGUUAAACAAGGUUGCAGGGCCUAAUCGCGAUUAACGAAAGGUUAUUGGGGCUAGCGAGGAAGAUUUACAAGACAUUGGAAUAGAGCUCACCAUUAGGUCAAAGCAUAGGGUUACAUCUGUUAAAGUGCGCAGGUUGGACUUGGUUGCACGGAUCCAAUAUAAUCAGGGACAUGGAUGAAAAUAAAUAAGACACAAGGAAAAACUAACUAUUUAAAGAGCUUCCAGGGGCCUAUGCACAGAAGCACCAUAGCUCAGCAUCCGGACGGGCUCCUAGACGGCAAAAUCAUCGUGUCAGAUUUAUAAGCCCAGCAAUGCACCAGGGGGUUACCCAAGUGGUUGAUUUGUAGGUGAGGGUGAUUGCGAAACCAAGAACUCAAAGGUGAUCGCGAGAACACGAAGCGACACGAAGGUUUUAGAUAGGUUCGGAUCUCCAGAGAGUAAUAUCCUACGUUCUGUAUGCUGGUGUGUAUUGCUUGAGAUUGAUCUGAUUGUUGGGAUGCCUUAUAAUGAAUCUAAUCUACUCGAUAGUUACAUAGAAAGUAAUAUGAGUUGGACAACAAUACGCGUUCCAUGAUAUUCGGGCAGAUUUGAACUGUCUUGUUGCCUUGACUUACACUCCAAGUAACUUCAUGCCCUUGGCCCGCACGCCCUGGUCGGGCGGGCCCUACUUGUCAGGUCCAUCUAGUAUCCUAGUUGAUGGGGGCUCAUGGGGUACCCAUAUCCCUCAAGCUCCCGAGCGAUGUGUAGGCGAACAGGAACUUGAGGUCAUCACAGCGAAACUUGAAAUGAAGUCGGCUGAAGCUGCGAAGGCGUCAUGGCGACGGAGAGACUGUGCAGUGCUCAAAAGAAGAAAAUUUGAGCAAACACAGAGCCAACGCAUAGAGCAAAGACGAGUGCUGAGUUGAUGGAUGCUGGCAUCUAGCAGGUCGGAGUGAAGGUUAUGGAGGGUGUCGCAAGACGCACUCCGUAGGAGUAGUCCCCAAGCAUUGAAGCGAUUAAGAUAAUCAGUACAAUGGUCAAAGAAGAAAAAAUUGUCUUCUGAAGCAGAUCCUAGUGCCUGAACACAAGGAUGGGCGCAGCCACAGAGGCCCGCCGACCAGAAGUAGGCACCCAGACCCAAGGACGAGGACUGGCAGGACCGCGGAGCCACGGCGACCUGAAAUAGGCACCCAACCCCCAAGAAUGAGGAGUAGCAGAGCUGCGGAGGCAUGCCGACCUGAAGUAGGUGCCCAGCCCCCGAGGACGAGGACUAGCGGAGCCAUGGAGGCAUACCGACUUGAAAUAGGCGCCCAGCCCCUGAGGACAAGGACUGGCAGGGCCACGGAGGCACGCCGAUAACAAUUAGGCGCCCAACCCUGAGCAUGAGUAUGAGGACUGGUGGAAGCACGUCGAGUCGCCUCCCGCCCUGAGCCGAGGCAGAGAGGUAGGCUGGGCGAUGGGAGGCACACCGAGUCAUCUGCGCCCACCAGCCGCCGAGUCUGGGAGCCGGACGAGUCACAGAAGCAUGCCAAGUCACCUCAUGCCCUGAGCCAGAGAGGUCAGCCGGGUGACGGGAGGCACGCCGUGUCGUCUGCGGUGCCCAGCACCCAAGCCUGGGAGCCGGCUGAGCCACAGAAGCACGCCAAGUCGCCUCCCGCCCUGAGCUAGAGAGGUUGGCCGGGUGAUGGGAGGCACGUCGAGUCGUCUGUGGCGCCCAAUCCCUGAACCUGGGAGCCGGACGAGCCACAGAAGCAUGCCAAGUCGCCUCCCGCCCCGAGCCAGAGAGGUUGGCCAGGUGUUGGGAGGCAUGCCGAGUAGUUUUUGAGCUGUAAAAGGACAAUACAAUCAUUAUGUAGCAUAGUGUAGAUCAUUCAAUAAUUUAACAACUCAGAAGUUUAAUUCGAUAUAGAAGUAAACUCUUGCGCAUCCUGCUAUUGUAGGUCAAGUAAUUUCCCAGGUAGUUAGCCUGUUACGUUUAAGCACCUAGCUUUGCUGACCACUGCUCACGGAGAGGACAGCUUAUCUCAGGCUAUAGCGUUGGGGCUGACCCGAUGCUCGCAUAUAGGAGACGCGCAUGAUGAGUCAAGGUUUCACGAAUUAAGGCGUGUGCUACUCGAGUACUUUAGCAACCGUUAAGAGGGACGGACAAGCCACAAAUCAGCCGGAACUCUACGGAAAAGCACCAGCAUGAGCUGGGCACCCAUGGGGUGUAGCCCUCGACCGCCCGUGUAGUGGACGGACCAAGCUGUAUAAGUAGUCGGGGUGCGAUCAAGGUGGUCGGUGAAAGUCACGGAGACAUAGGAGAGCCGAGGUGGUCGGCGAAAGUCACAGGGACAUGUAAGAGCCGAGGCAUAUGUAGGUAUACGGAAGCCGUAAAAUAUUUAAUUGUAAAUAAGACUUACCUUGAUUCAUGAUUGAGUCGGAGAACCCACAUGUCGUCUUCGCGUUUAGGCUUAGAAGCUCCUGAGCGUGGCCGGCGGACAGUUGUUGGUGAAGCAAACUAGUCGGUCUCCAUGCCCAACUAAUUUGUGUCGAGACUGAGUUGUUGGAGUUGUCAGGGACGCAUCUGUGGUUGCGAUCGUGGUAUGCUGCUGCCGAGUCGACGCGGCCGUCGGGUCGUGGUCGGCUGGCCGCCACGCUCGCAGUACAGCGUGCAUGGGUUGUGCUGCCAAACCAAGGGUGCAUGUACAUCUUUCCGAACCUCGUAAGGAAGCCCUCACGUAUUAAGGAAAUAAGAAAAAAAAUUAUUAGCUGCCGUAGUAAGCACCGAGCAACGUAGGAGAUCUACUGGAUAGAAUAGAUUAAAUAAUAAAGGGAAGGGAGAAUUGUUCCUUUUUUUUCCGUGGCAGAUCUGACGUGUCUGCAGGCAACAAGUUGGGGUCCACGUGUCGUGCUAAAUCAACCGGAGGCGUGGUGCUUGGCCUCCUGCGCCUCGCAAAUCUUCUGCAUCUGGAGCAUCCGCUCUAUGACGAGCUCGUACUGGCACUUCUCGUAGGCGUGGCACUCAGGCUCGCACUUCCAGGAGAGGUAGAACUCGGAGGUGCGCGCACUGGUCGUGGCAGGCGAGCAGCACCCGGGACUCCGCCAUCUCCACCUGCGUGAUGAUCUGGGGCUUCAAGGAGCCGAGCUGCACGCCGGCCGCUGCCGCCGCCUCCAUUUGUCACUUUCUUUCCCUCUCUCACCGGCGAGGUCAUUCUGUCGAUAGAUGGGUGCUGCGGGUUUGGUGCGGCGUGGGUAGGUGGGGUGUAGCAAGGACAUGGAGAGAGAUUGCAUACCUACUGGGCAAGCGGCAUGAUGGUCUUGGAUGGAGAACUUGCUCCAUCGGAGUAAAUCUGAUGGAUGCUGAGUUGACGACGGGCGUCGAGUCGAAGUCCACCGGCAUGCUCCCAAAGCGGAGCUGAAUUGGACUGGCGAGGAAUUCCUUCAUGCUCUUGGGGAAAACAAUGCCGGGGUGGGAUGCCAUCGAGCUCGCUGGGGAGGAUCUCAUAAUCACCUGUACCUGGCGUCCCAAUUGUCGGAUUUAUAAGCCCAGCAAUCCACCAGGGGGUUACCCAAGUGGUUGAUUUGUAGGUGAGAACGAUUGCGAAACCAAAAACUCAAAGGUGAUCGCGAGAACACAAAGGGACAUGAAGGUUUUAGACAGUUUCGGACCUCCGGAAAGUAAUACCCUACAUCCUGUAUGCUGGUUUGUAUUGUUUAAGAUUGAUCUGAUUGUUGGGAUACCCUCGGGGGUGCCCUUGGCCACUUUGUAUAGGCUAACGACCAAGAGGUGCAAGUUGGUUUGGAUCUAAUCUACUCGGUAGUUAAAUGGAAAGUAAUCUGAGUCGGACUACAAUACGCGUUCCAUGAUAUCCGGGCAGAUUUGAACUGUCUUGUUGCCUCGUCGUGCACUCCAAGUAACUUCAUAUCCUCGACCUGCACACCCUGAUCGGGCGGGUCCUACUUGUCAGGUCUGACCAGUAUGCUGGGGUACCCAUAUCCCUCACCUUGGUGCUCCGACAGUUAGGGUCGGCGGCAAGGAUGGGGAUUGGAAGCGGAGAUCGAGGGAACUUUAUGGAGAUGCUCACCGUUCCAUCCGGAAUUUGGCUAGCGGCGGAAGAACAUGGCAGCUAGCUCGGGUCUUUGCAAGUGACGGUACUUCAGUGGUGGAGCGGCAACGAAGAUUGGUGGCAGAGCUGCUCCUCGACGUCACGAAGCUCCCUGAGGCUCCAACUUGCUCCGAUAGUUGACGGGCACAGCGAAUCGGCCAGAGAAGGCCGGCGGCGGCUCUUGGCUUUGGCGGAUGUGGGGUAUGGCGGUGCUCUCGCAAGUUGGGAAGAGCGGCGGAGUGUGGCAGGGCAGCACCAGAGGCACUAUCUCGACUUUAUAGGCACGUGGGUCCACGCCUGCCUUGGCGCACACGCUGAGGUUCGGCGGUGGCGAUGCCUCAAGCUGCCGGUGGCCGAUGGGCCUAGCGGGCUUGGCUGAGCCAUCAGCUGGGCCGGGUCGGUGCGGGUUGGAUGGAGAGGUUCGGGCCCCAAAGGCUUGGCCCGAUCGAUUAGGAUUUUCCUUUUUUUCAGAAAUGAUUUCUCGUGAAUGAAAAAUCUAGAAAAAUUCUAGAUAAUUCAUUUAAACAACAAAAAAACUCUAAAAAUCCAAAAAUUCUAGGAAAAAUCCUAGAGAUAGUUUGGGGGGGGGGACAGGAGGAGUCCAAAUAAAAUACUUGGAGGGCGUGAAAAGGAUUCUAGAGCCUUUCAAAAAUUGGAUUUAGCUGUGGAAAAAAAUGAGAAUAAAUCUUAGAAAAAUAUGGAAAUUCUCAUAAGAACCUAAUUGGCAUCUAAACGUAUUUCAAAACCUUUGCACUCAUGAAAUACCAAGAUGCAUCGGCAUAAAUGCAACACAUACACAGAACCAUUGUAUUUAAUUCAGAAAACACAAUCUUUUUCCUAUACUAAAUUUCCUGUCAAGAAAAUAAAUAUUGGAAAAUUUUAAAAUUAUGAGAAAAUCAUUGUUUAAUUAUUCUUUUUAAUCACAUCCUGAAAUUUCAAAAAAUUUAGGGUCCAAAAUUCUUUUUACGGAAUUUGACAUUCAUGUCCAAAUUGGAUCUAUCCUUCAAUGAUCUGCAAAGUGAAGUGCCUAAAGGGUUUUUCUUGCAAAUGCAACUUACAUGUCGAUUUAUGGAAAUGAUCAGCUUUGUGGUCGAAUACCUCAACUUCAUUUAGCCCCAUGCUCCAUGUCUAGUGCAAAAAAGAAAUAAAGAAAUUUGUCGAAAACCCUUGUGAUCACCCUAACAUCAAUCAAUGCAGUUGUAUUCUCAGUUUCAGUACUUGAUGUAAUUGUGUUGAUCCGUAAGAAGCUUAGGAAGAGGCAUGAAAGUCAACUCAUAUCCACAACUGAGGAACUGUAUGAAAGAGUUUCUUAUCAUGCUUUGUCAAAUGGGACCAAUGGAUUUUCAGAGGACAAUUUACUUGGACAAGGAAGCUAUGGCAUGGUUUUAUAAAUGUACUUUACAUGACCAGGGCACUACAGUAGCUGUAAAGGUGUUUAACACACAACAAUCUGGGACUUCUAGAAGUUUUGUCACUGAAUGUGAGGCACUCAGAAGGGUGCGUCACCGUUGUCUCGUAAAGAUCAUCACUUGUUGCUCAAGCAUCAAUCACCAGGGUCAAGAGUUCAAGGCACUAGUUUUUAAGCUCAUGCCAAAUGGUAGCCUAAAUGGUUGGCUUCACCCAGAGUCUGACACACUUACCCAGACAAAUACUCUUAGCCUUGAACAAAGGCUACACAUUGCUGUCGAUAUCAUGGAUGCUUUGGACUAUCUUCAUAAUCACUGUCAGCCAUCAAUCAUUCAUUGCGAUCUCAAGCCAAGCAACAUCUUUCUUGCGGAAGACAUGAGUGAGUGCCCGAGUUGGAGGUUUUGGCAUAUCAAGAAUCCUUCCAGAAAGUGCUAAUAAAACCCUGCAAAAUUGGAAUAGCGCAACUGGAAUAAGAGGCACCAUUGGUUAUGUUGCACCAGGUAAUGAAAGAGAUGUUUUUGGUAUUUGUAAAAUGUUCUUAGUUCUUACGUAUACAAGACCUGCUGACCUUUGUUUUUUUUCCCAAUCAGAGUAUGGUGAAGGUUCUUCUGUCUCAACUCAAGGUGACGUUUAUAGCCUCGGCAUAUUGCUGCUUGAGAUGUUUACUGGAAGGAGCCCAACGGAUGAGAUAUUCAAUGAUUCUUUGCAUUUGCACAAGUUUUCAGAGAAUGCUCUUCCAGAGAGAAUAUGGGAUAUAGUUGACAAUAUGGAUGCACACAGAUGCCUAUAACAGCACUAUAAGAAGUGGAAUUAAGAAUUGCUUGCUUUCUGUCGUUUCUCUUGGAAUAUCAUGCUGGAAGAAACAACCUAGGGAGCGGAUCCCGAUUCAGGAUGCAGCCAUUGAGAUGCACUCUAUUAGAGAUUCGUAUCUCAAGUUUGCCAGGUCUCUUUUGGUGGAGCAUGGAGUAGUAGCAACAACUCACAGUGAUUUCCCACAACAGUGAAUAUACAUAGGACUGAAAAUGGGCAAGAUGUCUGCAGGUGAUCAGUUUACCUGAAAUAACUGAAGAUGUAUGAAGCUUCAGCUUUAUAAUUCGUCCAUGCAUUUGUUUGCAUCAGAUAUAUGGAAGUAUAAAAUAAGUUUAGAAAAUGUUUCAAAAUAGAUUAGAUCCAGAGGUUUUACUUGUCGUCUGUAUGACACAUUUUUUGUAGAGAAUUCAGUAAUAUGUAUGAUUCAUAAUACAAUCCGUGCUCUGCAAAUUUCAGAUAGCACNNNNNNNNNNNNNNNNNNNNNNNNNNNNNNNNNNNNNNNNNNNNNNNNNNNNNNNNNNNNNNNNNNNNNNNNNNNNNNNNNNNNNNNNNNNNNNNNNNNNGAGAGAGACUAGUGUUCAGUUGGUUGGAAGGAUGAGAGAGAGAGGAGAGUUUGGAUGAUAGAGAGGUUAGUGUUCACCUGGUUGGAAGGAUGAGAGGGAGAUGAGAGAGUUCGGAUGAGGAGGUGGAGAGUUCGAAAGAGAGAGAGGUGAGAGUUUGGAUGAGAGAGAAAGCAGCUUAGAAGGAUGAGAGUGAGAAAGCGGUAUUCAGCUGGAUGGUGGAGACUUCAUAUAUUACUAACUAGCAAGGUGUCCGUGCGUUGCUACGGAGAAAUGACGUUGCUUAGCGCGUAAUGUUUUUUAUCGUGUCGUGUAGCGGACCAUAUUUUUUAUCAUGUUGUGUAACUUUUUUAUUUUAGUUGUAUUAGACUGGCCACUUGAGUGUGUCCAUAUCCCUACCGUGCGGAGACCGCUUGCCAUCGAACUUGUUAUCUCUUUCUCUAUCUUGAGAUUGGUAGGCUUCUACAGCAAUUCUGCACAAAGAAGGCCCCACUUCGCCCCGAUCCCGUUAGUCCCGCGCCUACCCUCUCCCUCUCCGAUCCUUGCCACCAGCUCCUCCUGGUCCAGGUUGGGCCCGUGAUGUAGCGGCCUGUUAUCCUUCCACCGUUGGAAGCGAGCAGUGAUCGCUGCUCUGUGAACCCAACCUCACGCCGUUCCUACCACUUCAGGUCCAAUGAAGCCUGAGCUUUCGCUUGGGCCAAACAGGCCACUACCAACUUGGAACGAGCAGGGCCAGCAAAGGCACACAAUAGAUCCAAGCCCAGAGCCCAGAUACUUACAUUGACAAAGUGUUGAAGCGGUUCAGCAUGGAAGAGGCAAAGAAAGGGUUCUUGCCUAUGUCACAUGGCAUACAUCUCAGCAAGACUCAGUGUCCUUCGACUGCUGAUGAGCGGGAUCGCAUGAGUAGAGUGCCAUAUGCCUCGGCUAUUGGAUCUAUCAUGUAUGCAAUGAUAAGUACUCGCCCAGAUGUUUCAUAUGCGCUAAGUAUGACAAGUAGACACCAAUCUGAUCCAGGUGAGAGUCACUGGACAGCGGCGAAAAACAUUCUUAAGUACUUGAGAAGGACUAAAGAUAUGUUCCUCGUCUAUGGAGGUGAGGAGGAGCUCGUUGUAACAGGUUACACCGAUGCUAGUUUCCAAACCGACAGAGAUGAUUCAAAGUCACAAUCAGGAUUUGUCUUCACGCUAAAUGGUGGUGCUGUUAGUUGGAAGAGUUCCAAGCAGGAGACGGUGGCCGAUUCUACGACAGAAGCCGAGUACAUCGCGGCUUCGGAAGCCGCGAAGGAAGGUGUUUGGAUAAGGAAUUUCCUCAUUGAGCUUGGUGUGUUCCCGAAUGCGUCCAGCCCAUUGAAUCUCUACUGUGAUAACAAUGGGGCAAUUGCGCAAGCAAAGGAGCCAAGGAACCACCAGAAGAACAAACACGUAAUGCGGCGAUUUCAUCUCAUUCGAGACUUCGUUAACCGGGGUGAGAUCAAGAUAUGCAAAAUACACACGGAUCUGAACAUUUCUGAUCCGUUGACAAAACCACUCCCGCAGGCUAAGCAUGAUGCGCAUGUAAGAGCUAUGGGUAUUAGGUACCUUCUAGAUUGACUCUAGUGCAAGUGGGAGACUGUUGGAGGUAUGCCCUAGAGGCAAUCAUAGAGAUGAUGAUAUUCCAUUUGUAUCCAUGAUUUGUAUAUUGUGUUCAUUGAAUAUCCAUUAAAGGCUACUUGAAUUGAUUGCAAUUAUGUGAAUUGUAUGUGAAACUCUUUACUUGUAUGGUUAUUCUAAAGUUGUCCCUAGUCGGAGUUCAUGUAAGGACACACAUGAAUAUAAGACUAGCACAUGUAUUAGUUGAUGACUAUGUUUCACAAGUCAUGGACAUGGAGAUGUUGAACUAAUAAUGUGGACACAUGUGGAGACAUGUGUUAGGACUGACCCAACACGAGAAGUAGUUCUCUCUUUAAACAACAUAUACGCUUUGUCCUUAGACCUGAGAUUGUCGCAUGUAUUCUAGAUGUGGAUCGACCUACUUAGGGGCUAUCAAACGCUACACCGUAACAGGGUAGUUAUAAAGGUAGCUUUCGGGUUUGUCAAGAAGCAUGCUAUGAGACAUGGUCAAUCAAGAUGGGAUUUGCCCCUCUCUGAUUGAGAGUGAUAUCUCUGGGCCCCUCGAGUGAUCGGAUCCGAAAAUGCAUGGCCAUGCUACGUACGGUUAAGAGUUAACCUACAAAGGGAUUCCGAAUCAUAGGAUCGAGAAAGAGUGGUCGGCUUGAAGCUAGACCAAAUAUCGUGAGGCAAAGGGAAUAGCAUGUAUAUCAUGUUGUGAUGGUUCGUCUGAUAUGAUCUUCGUAUACGUAUAGGAGUUGGCACGUCUUGCUAGAGGCCGCUACCGACUAUUGGACCGAGUAGGAGUACUCGGGCCAUGUCUAUACGUAUCCGAACCCAUAGGGUCACACACUUAAGGGGCUGGAAGCCCAAUUCGGAUCUGAUCCGAGUUGGAUUAGGUUUAGGAGUACUAAUGGGCCUCGGAUCCAGAGGCCCGUCAGGAACCCCUAUAAAUAGAGGGGUGGGGGCGCCCUAGGGUUUACACCUUUUGGCGAAACACUUCUGCCGCGCCUCCCACGCCCUCGCCUGUUGCAACUCGCGGAUCUAGCAAUCCGGCUUGCGACGCUUCCUCCCUGCACGUGUGGAUACCUUGGAGGUGUUGCGCCUGCAGCACUUGGACGAGCCAUCGACGAGCCGCCGACGAGCCACGACGAGCCGACGACGAGCCGCGGCACCGGAGGCGAUCUUGCUGUGCACGUGGACGAGCUUGCUGUGCACGUGGACGAGCUGCUGAGGAGCUGCUGGACGUGAUCGACUACGUACGACUACGUGAUCAUCUUCACUGCACCGACGCAUAUCUACAUCUUCCGCACCAGUAGUGCGUCGAGUGGUAAUCCCGUAAUCCUUAUACGGCAGCUCUUCCUGGUUAUACGCGGUAGAAAAUUUUGUUUUGCGCUAGCGUAGCCUACCUCGUAUCCCAACAGUGGUAUCAGAGCCGUAGCUGCUUAGUUUUGGAUUCGGGAUGUGUGCAUAUGGAGAUAUGCGAGUUCUCUGUUUGAUCUAUGUCCUGAUUUCGUGCCCUUGCUGCAAUGGUAGUGUAACGACAUACUCCUACCGGUCGGUUUCCGCCAUCGGAGUUAAGUGAUACACGUAAAUCCAGUUGCAGUGAGGGAAGAUCAAUAUGAUUGGUCAAAUCGAGAUCCAGGGUCAUACGCCAGGCGCAUUAGAUGUGCAAUAGUAGAUGUGAUCUACUGCCGGGGUCGGGAUUUUGCCGUAUGCGCAUGCUUCGGUAAAUCAGCCGUAACUUUUUGGUACGAUCUCGGAUCGGGGCGAUUUCUAUACGAAAAUUGAUCUACAGAAAAAGUUACACAUGAAUUUCAACGGCUUCGCCGUUUUCGGCGAAAUUAGAUUUGCCAAAUUCGGCUUGGAAGAUGGAGUUUCGGGCCUCCCAAGUUUGGAACGUUAGGACGCCUAACUCUCUUUUGCAGGAUGUAUGUAUAUAUCUUGUGAUCAGUAUGGCCCCCUUAUGUAUGUGAUGCAUGUGUGUAACUUAUUCGUGACCUGCGUGUCACGCGUACGGCAACACGGCAGGAGCCAUAUGUGUUGUCACUUUAAUGUAUUUAAUGGUCUGCGUACCAAUCUGUGAUGAUCCAAGCAACUGUGUAAUCUUCAUUACUAGAUUCUUUACUAGCUAUUAGGCGUAAUAGCAUAGUUCUUGGAGGACUCAUCACCAGGAGGAUGGCGCACAUGGAACAUGGAGAUGGAGAUCACCAUGGUGAACAGGUUCUAUGGAGAUGGAGAUCACCAUAUGAAAAACGGGCCAUACUGUGUCACAACUGUGUGAAUGCUAUUCUGUUUAUGUUUUACUUUCUGCAUGCUGUGAUGUUAGAAGUAGAACGAUCCCUCACAAAGUUUAAGUUAGUAUGCCCUCCCAACUAAAACUUGCACCGUCCCAUGUCUUGUACAAUUAGUGGUGGGUCUAUGAAAUUAGGGUGCCACUAGUUUUCCUUGACUAGACGGGUUUGUGUCGGACACUUACACGCAUAAGGGUUGGUUAGCUUAACGAGGUCAUCUUAACGGUUAAGGACCUUGGGGCAUAAAGGUUGGGCGCCGAGACAUAGAGAUGUCACCCAACAACAGGAGUCAUAUGCGAUAUGAUUAGCAAAAGUUGCUUACCGAUCUACCUCGUUUGCUAGCGGUGAUGCUAAAGCUCACUAGUAGACUUGUUAGUUGUGGAUCCUGAAUCACUAAGUUUCAAUAGAGGGAUAUUGAUUUUAGUGGGAGUAGAUUCUGUUAAAAUAGUUUUUGCUCUAUCAUGGAUACGUUUGUCUUAGUGUAUUUUGCAUUACUUUUGUUGUAGAUUAAAUGGCACCUAGCAACACCACCGCAUCGUUUGCUUUGCGUUCGGUCCUUGAGAAGGACAAGUUGAAUGGAACAAACUACUCGGAUUGGAUCCGUAACCUGAGAAUUGUUCUCAGGGAUGAGAAAAAGGAAGAUGUUCUAGACACCCCACUACCACCAGUACCUGUUGAUGAUGCAUCUGCUGCCGUUAAGGCUGCUUACAAGAAGGCAUUUGAUGCUAAUCUUGAGGUAAGCUGCCUUAUGCUUGCUUGCAUGGAACCCGAGCUGCAGAUGCAGUUCGAAACAAAUCAUGAGGCUUACGAUAUGAUCGUGGCGCUCAAGGACAUGUUCCAGACACAGGCUAGGACCGAAAGGUUCAAUGUGUCCAAAGCCUUUCUGGAGUGCAAGUUAGCAGAAGGCGCAGCAGUAGGACCACAUGUAAUCAAGAUGGUUGGUUACACUCAGCGAUUGGAGAAGCUGGGCUUCCCAAUGGGCAAAGAGUUGGCCACUGACUUCAUUCUCUCAUCUCUUCCGCCUAGCUAUGGGAACUUCAUCUCGAACUACCAUAUGCAUGGGACGGAGAAGGGUCUGAAUGAGCUGUGUGGUAUGCUCAAGACAGCAGAGGUAGACAUUAAGAAAAGCGCUAGUACCAGCCAUGUGAUGGCUGUACAGAACAAGCCUACUUUUAAGAAGAAGGGCAAUUCUUGGAAGAAGAAGGGCAAGGCUGGAACGUCCAAGCCAAACCCACCGCCCAAGGCUAAAGCUGGACCUGCUCCAGAUAAAGAGUGCUUUUACUGUCAUGAACUUGGUCACUGGAAGAGAAACUGCAAGCAGUACCUAGCUUCGUUGAAGAACGGCGGAAGUAAGAGUACUUCUACCUCAGGUACGCUUGUUGUUUAUGUUAUAGACAACAUAUUUCUCGCUGAUACAGUUAUUAAUUCUUGGGUAUUUGAUACCGGAUCGGUUGCUCAUAUUUGCAAUUCGAUGCAGGGAAUGAUAAGAAGUAGAAGCGUGGAAAGAGGAGAAGUUGAUUUCCGCGUGGGCAAUAAUGCAAGAGUUGCUGCUUUGACCGUCGGGACGAUGCAACUCCACCUCCCGUCAGGAUUUAUUAUGGAGUUGAAUAAUUGUUAUUUUGUUCCUAGUUUAAGUCGAAACAUUUUGUCUCCUUCAUGUUUGAUGAGGGAUGGUUAUUCAUUUGCGAGUGAAAAAAAUGGUUGUGUGAAAAAAUGAUCUCUAAGAAUAAUAUGUUUAUGGCUUUUGCACCCAUUGUGAAUGGAUUAUUUGUUUUAAAUCUUGAUGGUUCACCUGUCUGUAAUGUAAGUGCUAAAAGGCCUCGGCCUAAUGAUUUGAGUCCUACCUACUUGUGGCAUUGUCGUUUGGGUCAUAUAAGUGAAAAGCGCAUGAAGAAGCUCCAUUCUGAUGGACUUCUAACUUCGUUUGAUUUUGAAUCAUACGAGACAUGUGAGGCUUGCUUGCUAGGCAAGAUGACCAAGACGCCUUUCACAGGAUUUCCUGAGAGAGCAGUAGACUUGUUGGAACUCGUACAUAGUGAUGUAUGCGGACCAAUGAGCACGACGGCUAGAGGAGGAUUCCAAUACUUCAUAACUUUUACUGAUGAUUUUAGUAGAUAUGGCUAUGUCUACUUAAUGAGGCACAAGUCUGAAACCUUUGAAAAGUUCAAGGAAUUUCAGAAUGAAGUUGAAAAUCAGCGUGGCAAGAAAAUUAAGGCCUUACGAUCUGAUCGUGGAGGCGAGUAUUUGAACCACGAGUUUAGCAAUCAUCUAAAGAGUUGCGGAAUUGUUCCACAACUUACGCCGCCUGGAACACCUCAGAGAAACGGUGUGUCCGAGCGACGUAAUCGAACUUUGUUAGACAUGGUUCGAUCAAUGAUGAGCCAGUCGGACCUACCGUUGUCAUUUUGGGGAUACGCUCUAGAAACAGCAGCUUUCACACUUAAUAGGGUACCAUCUAAAUCCGUAGUUAAGACGCCAUAUGAGAUGUGGACUGGAAAGGUUCCUAGUUUGUCUUUUCUAAAGAUUUGGGGAUGUGAAGUGUUUGUCAAGCGACUUCAGUCGGACAAGAUCACACCCAAGUCGGAUAAGUGCAUUUUCGUGGGAUAUCCAAAGGAAACUUUGGGAUAUUAUUUCUACAACCGAUCAGAAGGCAAAGUGUUUGUCGCUCGGAACGGGGUUUUCCUAGAGAAAGAGUUUCUCAAAGGAGAAAAGAGUGGAAAAACAGUGCAUCUUGAAGAAGUUCAAGAUGAGCCAAUCGGGCAAGAAUCAAUGAGUGAUGCUAACGUAGCAGAACAAGUUGAGAUACCCAUGGCAAGAGAAGCACCGCCACAACCACGAAGGUCGGCAAGGCUCCGCGAAAUGCGGGAAAUAUUAUUGUUGGACAAUGAUGAGCCUGCGACAUAUGCAGAAGCAAUGAUGGACCAAGACUCCGAAAAAUGGCAGAGUGCCAUGCAAUCCGAAAUAGAGUCCAUGGGAGACAAUCAAGUUUGGAACUUGGUUGACCCGCCUGAUGGUGUUAAGGCCAUAGAGUGCAAGUGGAUCUAUAAGAAGAAAAAGGACAUGGAUGGAAAUGUUCACAUCUAUAAAGCACGACUUGUCGCAAAAGGUUUUCGACAAGUUCAAGGAGUUGACUACGAUGAGACCUUCUCGCCCGUAGUGAUGCUUAAGUCCAUUCGGAUUAUUCUAGCUAUAGCUGCAUAUUUCGAUUAUGAGAUAUGGCAGAUGGAUGUCAAGACAGCUUUCCUGAAUGGAAACCUAGCUGAGGACGUGUAUAUGAUACAGCCCGAGGGUUUUGUCGAUCCGAAAAAUGCUGGAAAGGUAUGCAAGCUUCAGAGAUCCAUUUAUGGAUUGAAGCAAGCAUCUAGGAGUUGGAACAUUCGUUUUGAUGAAGUGGUCAAAGGGUUUGACUUCACCAAGAACGAAGAAGAGUCUUGUGUUUACAAGAAGGUUAGUGGGAGCUCUGUAGUAUUUCUAAUCUUAUAUGUGGAUGACAUAUUACUGAUUGGAAAUAACAUUCCUAUGCUUGAGUCCGUAAAGACUUCACUGAAAAAUAGUUUUUCGAUGAAGGACUUAGGGGAAGCGGCAUAUAUUCUGGAUAUUAAGAUCUAUAGAGAUAGAUCGAGAAGGCUUAUAGGUUUAAGCCAAGAUACUUACAUUGACAAAGUGUUGAAGCGGUUCAGCAUGGAAGAGGCAAAGAAAGGGUUCGUGCCUAUGUCACAUGGCAUACAUCUCAGCAAGACUCAGUGUCCUUCGACUGCUGAUGAGCGGGAUCGCAUGAGUAGAGUGCCAUAUGCCUCGGCUAUUGGAUCUAUCAUGUAUGCAAUGAUAAGUACUCGCCCAGAUGUUUCAUAUGCGCUAAGUAUGACAAGUAGACACCAAUCUGAUCCAGGUGAGAGUCACUGGACAGCGGUAAAAAACAUUCUUAAGUACUUGAGAAGGACUAAAGAUAUGUUCCUCGUCUAUGGAGGUCAGGAGGAGCUCGUUGUAACAGGUUACACCGAUGCUAGUUUCCAAACCGACAGAGAUGAUUCAAAGUCACAAUCAGGAUUUGUGUUCACGCUAAAUGGUGGUGCUGUUAGUUGGAAGAGUUCCAAGCAGGAGACGGUGGCCGAUUCUACGACAGAAGCCGAGUACAUCGCGGCUUCGGAAGCCGCGAAGGAAGGUGUUUGGAUAAGGAAUUUCCUCAUUGAGCUUGGUGUGUUCCCGAAUGCAUCCAGCCCAUUGAAUCUCUACUGUGAUAAUAAUGGGGUAAUUGCGCAAGCAAAGGAGCCAAGGAACCACCAGAAGAACAAACACGUAACGCGGCGAUUUCAUCUCAUUCGAGACUUCGUUAACCGGGGUGAGAUCAAGAUAUGCAAAAUAAACACAGAUCUAAAUAUUUCUAAUCCGUUGACAAAACCACUCCCGCAGGCUAAGCAUGAUGCGCAUGUAAGAGCUAUGGGUAUUAGGUACCUUCUAGAUUGACUCUAGUGCAAGUGGGAGACUGUUGGAGGUAUGCCCUAGAGGCAAUCAUAGAGAUGAUGAUAUUCCAUUUGUAUCCAUGAUUUGUAUAUUGUGUUCAUUGAAUAUCCAUUAAAGGCUACUUGAAUUGAUUGCAAUUAUGUGAAUUGUAUGUGAAACUCUUUACUUGUAUGGUUAUUCUAAAGUUGUCCCUAGUCGGAGUUCAUGUAAGGACACACAUGAAUAUAAGACUAGCACAUGUAUUAGUUGAUGACUAUGUUUCACAAGUCAUGGACAUGGAGAUGUUGAACUAAUAAUGUGGACACAUGUGGAGACAUGUGUUAGGACUGACCCAACAUGAGAAGUAGUUCUCUCUUUAAACAACAUAUACGCUUUGUCCUUAGACCUGAGAUUGUCGCAUGUAUUCUAGAUGUGGAUCGACCUACUUAGGGGCUAUCAAACGCUACACCGUAACAGGGUAGUUAUAAAGGUAGCUUUCGGGUUUGUCAAGAAGCAUGCUAUGAGACAUGGUCAAUCAAGAUGGGAUUUGCCCCUCUCUGAUUGAGAGUGAUAUCUCUGGGCCCCUCGAGUGAUCGGAUCCGAAAAUGCAUGGCCAUGCUACGUAUGGUUAAGAGUUAACCUACAAAGGGAUUCCGAAUCACAGGAUCAAGAAAGAGUGGUCGGCUUGAAGCUAGACCAAAUAUUGUGAGGCAAAGGGAAUAGCAUGUAUAUCAUGUUGUGAUGGUUCGUCUGAUAUGAUCUUCGUAUACGUAUAGGAGUUGGCACGUCUUGCUAGAGGCCGCUACCGACUAUUGGGCCGAGUAGGAGUACUCGGGCCAUGUCUAUACGUAUCCGAACCCAUAGGGUCACACACUUAAGGGGCUGGAAGCCCAAUUCGGAUCUGAUCCGAGUUGGAUUAGGUUUAGGAGUACUAAUGGGCCUCGGAUCCAGAGGCCCGUCAGGAACCCCUAUAAAUAGAGGGGUGGGGGCGCCCUAGGGUUUACACCUUUUGGCGAAACACUUCUGCCGCGCCUCCCACGCCCUCGCCUGUUGCAACUCGCGGAUCUAGCAAUCCGGCUUGCGACGCUUCCUCCCUGCACGUGUGGAUACCUUGGAGGUGUUGCGCCUGCAGCACUUGGACGAGCCAUCGACGAGCCACCGACGAGCCACGACGAGCCGACGACGAGCCGCGGCACCGGAGGCGAUCUUGCUGUGCACGUGGACGAGCUGCUGAGGAGCUGCUGGACGUGAUCGACUACGUACGACUACGUUGAUCGACUACGUACGACUACGUGAUCGUCUUCACUGCACCGACGCAUAUCUACAUCUUCCGCACCAGUAGUGCGUCGAGUGGUAAUCCCGUAAUCCUUAUACGGCAGCUCUUCCUGGUUAUACGCGGUAGAAAAUUUUGUUUUGCGCUAGCGUAGCCUACCUCGUAUCCCAACAGCGCACCAGGCAGCACGGGCGGCCGGGGCCGGGGAGGCGACUCUGGCGUGGCCGGCUAUGGUGGGCAGGGAGAGGCAGAUGGUGGCGCAACGGCGGCAUGGAGAGACGGACGUCGGGCACGGACGGGUGAAAGGGGAGAUGGGGAAAGAAAGCUGGUCCCACCUGCCAAUGCAGCCGGGGUCGGGGUGGGGCGGGCAGCGAGGCCGAGGCCGGGCGGCACGACCGGGGCCAGGGAGGUGGCUCUGGCGUGGCCGGCUGUGGUGGGCGGGGAGACUCGGACAGCGGCGCAACGGCGGCACGAAGAGGUGGACGUCGGGCACGGACGGGUGAAAGGGGAGACGGGGAAAGAAAACUAGACCCACCUGUCAAUGCGUUAAUCUUACCUAUUAUUAAACAUCAGGGCGACCUCUCGUUGAAAAAAAAAAAUGGGCACAAGUGUUCCUCACUUUAAUAAUAAUAAUAAAGUAUAGAUAAUGUAUCAAAUAGCAUUUGUAAUUUAAUUCUAAGAAAAACUUUCUCAGUACCAAACAAGAAAAUUCAAUUGAAUCAAAUUCUACGGAAUCCAUUUCUUAUGGAAUCUAAUUGCUAGAAUAUGAUUCAUGGAAUAAGUUUCAACUCUAGGGAUCCAAACAUACCCGUAGUUAUUUCUUAUGCAGCUCAAAUCAGACGCAAGGUACGUCCUAACUAAAAGACGUAAGUUACUUUAUGUUAUCUUGUGAAUCAGUGAUUAAUUACUUCCAAUCUUAUGUAAAAAGAACUACGAGUUAAAUUCUUUGUCAGAUUUAUACUGACAAGUUACAAGCACAUGCCUCUGCAGUAACAGGCGAGCCCUAGACUAGUGGGCAAACCAAAAACAACAUGGUUCGUCAACUGAUCGAAUGCUAAUGACUAUUUUGCUAGGAGAAUGAACAUGAUUCAUACAAAAAAGGGGAGUUAGUAAAAGGGGAGCUACUAACUUGGUCAAGGUCUCCGUCCUCUGGCGUGGGGAAGGGGCCAUCUUGCUCCACUCCACGUCUGCGUGGUUGCUCGGCGGGCGCGACGGCGUCGGGUGCGGAGUGCUGACGGCGCGUAGAUAUGUCAUUGUUGAUCAGGACAUGCACUUCUAUCACCAUCUGUGGUUGGCGUCCGCGGCCGAGCGGGUCAAGGUCUCCGUCCUCUAGCGUGGGGAAACAGGAUCUCUUCAAUCAGUGCUUCUACAGAAACGGUGCACGGUCACCACGGACCAACGACAUACCAUGAGAAAAGCAGAGCUAAAUGUUGCAGUAGCAGAGUAACCGGAGACUGCAGAGCACUUGCUGCUAAAAGCUGCCUCUUAUUUUGUAUCGUCUUAACAGAAGACUUUAAGUCAGCCGCCAUUCGAUUCGAAUAUAAACUAGCAAGUUGGCCCGCGAUAAUAGCGCGGCUAGAUUUGAUACAUGUGCAUAUGCACGCCUAAUUAAAAUUGCUCACUUGUAACAAAAUAAUAACAACUUGAGUAGUUGAUUAUGAUCUUAUGUUGCAGUUUUUGCCAACUUUUCCUAGUAUUAUUGUGUUGAGUAGAAAGCCUGUGUAGAAAAAGAUACAAAACAAACAAUAGUGUCAACUACUCUCCAUGCUUGCUCAAAUGAUUUUGAAAAAAAAAAACAACCGCGCUCUAAGUCCUAGGGCGGUGAUAUUCCUCCUUACUUUCCUCCUCUCGUUUUCCUUGCACAAUCCAGGAUGACAAAUACCACAAACCACUUAGGCUCGAUCAUGUUUCAUCAUCACAUUCCUCAAAUCUUGAUCACGUUGUUGUCUUCGUUAUGCUAGCAGUACACAUCUCUCCGCCUCAUAAGAUUACUAAGGUCUCAUAAGAUUUUUGAUGGAUUUGCAUUAAUAUUAAUAUUGCCACCAAUCUAGUCUCAACCUUGCUUGUGUUCUCCAUGGUCAUGUUUUAUUCAAACUUGCAAGACCUACAAGCGCAUAUGAUGGUUCUUCUAUAUACAUAAUAUAUCGCAUCUCCUAAGACAUAUAUCGCGGGCCGGCGGCGCGCGGGGGAGCGGCGCCGGUGGAGCGGAGGCGACCGGCGGUGGGCGGAGGCGGGUGGGUGCGGGCGCAGGCGGAGGUGGGUGGGCAUGCGGGGGAGCGGCGCCGGCGGAGCGGAGGCGGGUGGGCGCGGGCAUAGGCGGAGGCGGAGGCCGGCGCGGGCGCGUGCGGAGGCGGACGGGUGGAGGCGUGCAGCGGCGGGCGGGCACGGGCGAGUGGCGGCUGGGCCGGCGGCGGCCUCGCGGCACGGGUGGAGGCGGAGACCAGCAACGGCCGGGCAGCCCUCCGGCGAGCGUGGGGCUUUUUUUUUAUUUUUUUCAAAAUUUUUUAGUCCCGGUUGGUAGUUGGUAACACCAAUUGGUACUAAAGGGGGCCUUUAGUUCCGGGUGGAUUACCCGGGACUAAAGACCCCCUCUUUUGUCUUGAAAAAUUUAUCCCGGAUAGCUUAGAGAGAUUUGAGCCUAUCCAACCGGGACUAAAGGUGAGUUUUCCAUCGGUGAAUGUCAGAGGAGGCUCAUCCUAAAUGGUGACACCAUGCUGAUCAUGCAAUUUAUCAUUAUUUUAUCGCCCUCAUGCAUGCUGCAUGAUAGAUAUUGGUACUGGGCAGCUUAGAUUCCUCAGCGCAUCAUGCUGCUCAGCCAUGGAGGUCAAGUCAUCACUAUUGUCCAUAUCACAACGCCUCUGCCUUCUCUUGUUGUCCUCCCCCUUCCCUCUACCUUGCACCUUCUUGUUUUGCUGAUCCUAUUGUCAGUUUGUUGCAGCCAUUUAUGGGCACCUCUUUCAUCCAUUGUCCACUGUUGUUGCCCGCUGCCUCAGUUCUUCUCUGACCAAAGCGGUCGUAUCGCGCUGGUCGGUAGGAAGCCAUCGUCUCGCAAAAGCAUAGUCGUCGUCGCCAAACCACAUCUAGCCGAUGCCGAACCAUACUUUUGCCAUCUUGUUUGCCAACUUGCCGCUAUGGAAGCCUCCAUGCAUCGCUCAUCGAGUCUAUCCUAUCUCUAUCAGCUCCUGUGGUAUCCUGUUUUGUUUUUGCCUCAACCACGAAGCCAUAGGUUGCUGGUGCUAAAUUGCAGGGCCAGCAACAGGUAUUUCCUCUCCCUGGCCUUGCGGCCAUGCUAUGUAUUUUUCUCUCUCAAAAAAAAUUCCAAUGAUUUAAUCCUAAUGUUCCGAUCAUGUGUGAUUGGUUUAUUAAUUAAAGUUAGAGUUAUACUUUAAGUAUAUUAUAUAAAAAUAAUAUAUAUAUAUAUAUGUAUAUAUAAAAGUUACCAUGCAAAGUACAACUUCCAAUAAGGUGGAGAGGUUCGGAUGGAAUUUUGAUUCAACUUACUCUAUUCUAGAUAUUAGAGUUGUACUAGCAAAAUACCGCUACGGUAAAAAAAUCAAUUGGGUUUUUCAAACUAAUAAUAUUUUUUAUUUCCAUCACUAAAUUUUUAUUCCACUUAUUGGAUGUCCACACAUUUUAAUAGAAAACUAAAAAAUGUUUGACUAAUUAUUUCCUUCACUCAAAUACCCAUUAAAUUAAAAUAUUUUUUUAUUCAAGCAAGAGAGUUAAAUCAGCCUCCGAUGGCCACCGAUGGGGGCUCUUUAGUCCCGGUGGGUAAUAUCAACUGGGACUAAAGAACCCCUUUAGCCCCGGUUGUAAAAGCUAGUGGCCCUCGGGAUUCUGGUGGAGUGUUUUGUCCCGGUUGCAACUACCAACCAGGACUAAAGGAGACCUUUAGUUCCGAUUGGUGUUUCCAACCUGGACAAAACGCUCCCCGCCUCCACACACACAAUGCGCGUGUCCCACUUUCUCUCCUCCCUCUACUUAAUUCCAGUGCCUAUGCCUCCUCUCCUUAAUUCCAACACCCACAUGCCUCCUCUCCUCCUCCCUUCGGUCCCUACCUCCUCUCCUCCCUCUCUUCCUCCGCCGGAUCCGGCCGGCCCCCACUCCCUCUCCCCAAGCUCCUCCCUCUCCCUCGGCCGCGCAGGUCAGGCGGUGCGGCCGGGGCCGGGGCGGCGUGGGCGGUCGGGGCUCGGGAGGAUGACAGGUGGUUAUGAGGAUGAUACCUGCAGACAAUACUUUUAAUCCCUCAAUUCUUACCGAGAAUUGCACUAUGAACUGCGCUUUCAUUUAUGCUACACCGCUCAGCUAUAAAAAAGGUGCAAAUCGACCAAAAUAAAUGAAUAAACCACACGGUUUAGACUGGUGGCAUCUAUAUGUUUGAUGAGUUUUGAAUCCCAACAGACCUCUGUUUGCUUAUCCAACAGGAGGAAAAAACUUUACUUACUAAAUCAGCUUUGCAUGCCAGGCUGCAAUUGUUAGAGCAGGAUUGGGUAAUUUGUGAACAUAAUUGAAUCAAAGUUUUGUCUCAGACUAGUAAUAGAAAAUGGUAAUGCUCCAUAGCUAGAACACGUUCCUACACUAGUUUAAAAAAUUCCCUGAAAUUGGGAACAAUGGUCAAGCCCAAACCAAACUUGGAACUUGGAAGGCCGCUGGCCAAUGUCAAAGUCAAAAAACAGAAGCAGACAGCGACGUCUCACCAGAUCACGAAUCAGCCUUAGGAUUAAUACGCUCUGUCUGGCAAUGCGGCAAUGCGCGUAGCUCCCCUGCUGACCAAGAAAAGCAAGCUCCGUCUGGCAGCAAGCUCUUCAAUACGCUCCAGCCCAGCUCUACCAUGGCAUUGGCAAUGCGCGUCGUGAGCUUGCUUCCUGCCACCAUCGCCGUGAUGAUCGCAGCAGCCUCCUGGGGAGCGCACGGCGGUGCCAGCGACGAGGCCAGCGCGCUGCUUGCUUUCAAGGCUGAGCUCGCCGGCAGCGGCUCCGGCAUGCUUGCAUCCUGGAAUGGCACCGCUGGCGUCUGCGGCUGGGAGGGCGUGGCGUGCACCGGCGGCCAGGUGGUGGCACUGAGCCUGCCCUCCUAUGGGCUCGCCGGAGCCCUCUCCCCGGCCAUUGGGAACCUCACUUUCCUGCGGACCCUGAACCUGAGUUCCAACUGGUUCCAGGGGGAGGUCCCAGCAAGCAUCGGCCGCCUAGCGCGUCUGCAGACGCUUGAUCUGAGCUACAAUGCGUUCUCUGGUACGCUUCCUUCCAACCUCAGUUCCUGUGUCAGCUUACUGCUGUUGAGGCUCAGCAGUAACCGGUUCCAUGGGCGUAUCCCUGUUGAGCUUGGAGACAAGCUAACAAGUCUUCAGAAGUUCUCACUGGGCAACAACAGCUUGACGGGUGCCAUACCAGGAUCACUAGGUAACCUGUCAUCCCUGAACUACCUUGAUCUGACAGAAAACCACCUCGAGGGUCCGAUCCCACAUGAACUUGGCAGCAUGGGCGGCCUGAAGGUCCUUUUACUCUAUGAGAACAGACUCUCCGGUGUGCUUCCACACUCCCUGUACAAUCUGUCCUCACUGAAAAAGUUGGAUGUAGGAAACAACACGCUGUCUGGAACCAUCCCUGCUGAUAUCGGCGAUAGGUUCGCCGGUAUGGAAGUUCUUGACUUUAGUAGCAACCGAUUAAGUGGAGCUAUCCCACCUUCGCUCGGCAACCUCUCUGCUCUCACAAAACUAAACCUUCCAGGAAAUGAUUUUAUUGGAUAUGUGCCUUCUGCUUUGGGGAAGUUGCAAAGUCUUACUGACCUGUUCUUGACUGACAACAGGCUAGAAGCAAACGACAGUCAAGGGUGGGAAUUCAUCACUUCACUGGCAAACUGCUCCCAGCUUCAGUAUCUUGUUCUCGGCAACAACUCUUUCAGCGGGCAACUGCCUAAUUCAGUCGCAAACCUGUCAUCAACUCUGCAACGUCUUUAUUUGGGAGACAAUAUGAUUUCUGGGAAUAUUCCAAUAAACAUCGGAAAUUUGGUUGGUCUUACAGUACUUGAGAUGGCAAAUACUUUAGUAUCUGGACAGAUUCCAGAGAGCAUUGGUCAGCUAAGAAACUUGGGUGUGUUAGGCCUUUACAACACUAGCUUGUCAGGCCUCAUACCUUCAUCACUAGGAAAUCUUACACAGUUGAAUAAUCUUUAUUUAUACUAUGGAAACUUAGAGGGGCCAAUUCCAUAAAACUUGGGGAACUUAAAGAAUGUGUUUGCCUUUGAUCUCUCAACAAAUCGACUCAAUGGUUCAAUUCCUAUAGAGGUUUUAAAACUUCCUCGACUUUCCUGGUACUUAGACUUAUCAUAUAAUUCAUUAUCCGGACCACUUCCAACUGAGGCUGGUACCAUGGUGAAUCUUAACGAACUGAUUCUGUCUGGAAACAAGUUGUCAGGCACCAUACCAGCUAGUGUUGGGAACUGUAUAUCGUUGGUAAAGCUGCUGCUCGAUAACAACUUAUUAGAAGGAAGCAUACCUCAAUCUCUGAAGAACUUAAAAGGUCUUGCAUUACUGAACCUAACAAUGAAUAAGCUAUCUGGUAGUAUUCCUGAUGCCCUUGCUAGCAUUGGCAACCUGCAACAACUGUAUCUUGCACACAACAACUUGUCAGGUUCCAUCCCCAAAGUUCUACAGAAUUUGACAUUGUUGGCAAAACUGGAUUUGUCCUUCAAUGAUCUGCAAGGCGAAGUGCCCAAAGGGGGUCCUUUUGCAAAUGCAAUUCG
This 37273-nucleotide long non-coding RNA is filed under the name Setaria italica (foxtail millet). Its description in RNAcentral is "long non-coding RNA (SITA_LNC003510)". The record is from RNAcentral. Lineage: Eukaryota; Viridiplantae; Streptophyta; Magnoliopsida; Poales; Poaceae.